Molecule: long non-coding RNA, 5351 nt
Organism: Alnus glutinosa
Lineage: Eukaryota; Viridiplantae; Streptophyta; Magnoliopsida; Fagales; Betulaceae
Exons: 3
Source: RefSeq, a predicted model, not a curated record
CUGACUUGCCAACAAGAGGGUACAUGUUGUUCAUACGAUUCAAUAAGAUCUUUAUCGCAACUCAAAGUUUUGAAUCCGUUUGUAUAGAAUGUAGUUGUUUUUGUAAGAGGUAAUGACAGGGUCUACGUACCACUACAAGAAAAAUGGUCUUUAGCGAUGACCCUGAGUCGUCACUAUAGCCCUUAAAGUGGUCGCUAAAACAUCGUCGUUAAAGACUAAAUAACGACGACUUUUUAUUUCGUCGCUGAUAAUGACUAUUAGCGACAACAAUUGUCGUCGCUAUUAUUACAAAUAAUGGUUGCUAAAAAUGCCUCCCGAGAUACAAUGUCGUCGCUAAUGAUGUACACAUUAGUGACGAUAUUGUGUCGUCGCUAAUGGUACACACAACAGCGACGACAUUGUGUCGUCGCUAAUAGUGCACACAACAGCGACGACAUUGUGUCGUCCUUAAUGGUGCACACAACAACGACGACAUUGUGUCGUCGCUAUUGUGCAUACAAUAAUGUAAAUACAACAGCGACGACAUUGUGUCGUCGCUAAUGUGCACACAACAACGACAACAUUGUGUCGUUGCUAAUGAUAUUUUGCAUAUUAAUUAGCGACUACGUAAGUCAUCACUAAUGAUAAAUAUUUUUUUUAAUAAAAAAAUGUGCCAAUUACAUUUUUUAUUUUUGCCAAUUAAUAUUUUAAUGUUUGCUAUGAAUUAUCUAAAUUGCAUAAAAGAUAACAAACCAAAAAUAGAAUUUUGGUUUGCCCUCGGCUCACAUCUUUAGCAAAGCAUUUAUCUAAAUCUGUUAAAAAAAAACACACACACACACACACGAAAUUACUAAAAUGCAAUCCCAAUUGCCAAAUUGUUUAAGCAUAACAAUCAUCCUCAAAACGAGAUAUGAUAAAACAUUAAGUAUUCAAAAACUGAGUCUUCCUCGUCAGAUUACAUCUAGAACAUUAGGUUCAUCCGAAAAUCUGAUAAAACAUUAAGUGUAUCCAAAAUUUAACUAAUGCAACUAUAAUUUAACAUAAGCCACAUGAGUGCUGACGGUGGUAGAUUCCUUUGACAAAAGAACAAAUAAAUAAUCACUAUUAGCAAACUGAAGCCCAAACAAAAAUAUAACAUUACACUUCAAAUAAAAAUAAAAACUAUAUUUCAGUAAGCAAACAUUGAGAUCCUCCUUCAAAAAUAUAUUGGAACACUAAAGCAUGUUCAGCGCACCAAAUCCAAUAGUUGAAUACUACAGAAUUAAACUACUUAAAGAGCCAUUUUCUAAACUUAUGAAACCAACAGAAAUUCGAAGCGUAAAAGAAUACGCACCUAAGUCAAAUAAUAAACAAAUACAGUUGGAACAAGAAACAAUACAAUUACUAGACCAUAUGCUAAAAUCAACUAGGCCAUUAAUCUCUCAGAGUACAUAAAACAAGGACAUGGAUACAAAACUAUUUUAUGAAGAGCAUAACCGACCAUAAAGUAGAUUUCAAGAAAUAAUGCAUAUGAAGUGAAAACACAAGAUGCUCCAUUUUAAAUACCUUUUAUCUUUUCAUUCAAAUAAAACAUCCAAAUAUACAAGUUAUGCAACUUCAUUCUAAAUAUAAAGUUCAAAUGAAACAUACCAUACUCUAUAGCACAAAAGACGUGAAGUUUUCGAAUCCAAUCUCUUUAACCUUCCCCAUCAAAUUGGGCAAAAUUAUGACAUUGUGCUCCUAUAACAUAUAGAAAAACAAACAAACGUGUCAACUAUCAGAAAUUAGCUGUUGUUGUUCAAUUAAAGCAUAACAAAACAUAUUUGCCACACAACCAUUUUACCUAAAAUACGUGACACUAGAAGAUCAUAUUGGCGCUUUGAUUCUUUCUAAAUCUCCUCAACAUGUCGGUUUGCUUCUUUUUGAAUCUCAUCGAUACGUCGAUUUGAUUCAUUUUGCAUUUCUUCCAUUUGCUCAUCUCUUUUUCUUUCUUUUUCCAAUAAUUGAUCUGACAACUUGGCCACUUCGAGCUUUGUUUCCUUUAACUCAAGGUUGACUUGGGUGCUAUAUCGCGAAUGCGAAGAGGAUGGAGUAGGUAUGACAUAUUUUCCCAUCCCUCUAACAUGGCCAGAACGUUUCCCACCAAGAACUUGUGUAAAUAUUUCAUCUUCAUUUAAGACAACUUCUUCGUCAACCAACAUGUCUUGCAUCAAAUUCUGCACAAGCAACAUAAACUUUAAUUAAAUAAUUUAGGCAAUUCAAUUAUAUAAUGAAAAAGUUAUAUUUCAGUUACUUACGUAUCGUUCUUCACACAGCGGAGUCACAAAUGACCCAUCUUUCUUUCUGUGAGAGGUCUUAUAAAAGUCAAUUACCUUAGGUUCCAUCCCAGUUUGUCUCUUUUGCACGUAAUAGACAUAUGAUUAACAUAUGCUCUAAAUAUAACUAUUAAAAUAAUGUAAUAUUAUAAAAUUAUUACCUUACUAUGGCGAUGACUAAUAAAAGAUCUAGAGCCGGAUGUGUGAUUGGUCUUCAACAUCAAUUUAUUCGCCUUAUUACGUAAGGACUUACGCUUCCAAUCUUUGUUGGCAAAUGAUUCACAUAUCUUAUGCCACGUGGUUUGUGACAUAUUCUUUUGAACUUCUGUCUUCACCAUUGUUAAGUCUGUAUUACCACCGCAUUUUAGGAAUCUUUGAUGAAGACCAUAACGAAGUGUUUUAUAACUAUUUGAUAAGGCCGGCUCCACACUUGCAUUGUGUUCAUUCACAUUCUCAUCUAAAUCCCACUCACUCUGAAACAUAAUAGAUAACAAAACAAUAGUCUUAACGUUUUAUAUUAUAUGUAGUAAUUAACAUAACAUCAAACAAUAAAACUCACCAAAACAAGAUUUCUUAACAGUUGCCGCUCAUUUGGUGGGACACGAGUCCAAGAAUCAUGUCAGAGAUCGGUGUGUUGACAAACAACUAUUGUCACCCUCCUACUAAAUUGACUAGCAUUAUCACCAACAGGUCCUCUUGCCUCAGCAGGAAUUUCUAUUGGAACGGGACCAUGCUCUAUAAGAUUAUUGAACUUAAUGAAUUUAUUCUGACCUCUUUUCUUCUUGUUGGACAUAACAGCUAUGAGGCAAAAUAUGAAAACCUAGUUAGUAAUUUUCGGUGCAAUAGAUUGUUCAAUAACAGAGCUUAUUGCAUAAAUAUUAUAUGUGCACUUACAAGAUGUAUUGGAGGGUCCCUGAGUCAUCAUUUGACAUGGUUGUACAUCAGUUUCAAUAGCCACUUGGGAUCCUAAACUUGUGUCCCCAUCUUUAUCAUUAAGCUGCAUUGGCAUAGAACGAGUUGUGGGCACACAUCGUUUUCAUCCUCAAUUCAUUGUGUAUAACUGAUUUUACAAUAGUAACAAUGGAUAAGAAUAUGUGAAAAAUAUAAACAUACAUUAAUACUCAAAUGAUUUCUAAUGAGGCAAACAAAUCAUAUGCAUAUAUCAUCUUACCAUAUAUCACAAAACAACAAAUAAAUUUCACAAUAGAAUAUAUUCAACACAUAUCAUCUUCAGAGUCUGUAUCAAAGUUGCAAGAUAACUCUUCUUCAUGAGCGGAGUUUGUAUCAUCGUUGCUAGAUACCUCCUCUUCAUCAUCAUUGCUAGAUAACUCUUCUUCAUCAUCAUAGGUUGUUUCAUUCUCCUCAUUAUUGGCCUCAUUGUUGAUUAACAUGCUUCUAUCAACAACUAUUGGUUCCACAUCAUCUUUACGUAACGGAGUUGAGUCUUCAUCGUUUCCUUGUUGCACAGGCGCAUGACCCCCAACACAUUCAUCUUCUUCGUCCUCAUCACCAAAGCCUUCGUCAUCUUCUUCAAUCUCUCCCUCUAGUACAGUUGGAACAUCGUAUAUAUUUCUAUGGGUUACCUUUUGUACUACUUGCCAGCUACUACCCAAUUUGGCAUCUUUUAAGUAAAAUGCUUGUGAAGCUUGACAUGCUAGGAUAAAUGGGUCAAAGGCAUACCAUGUACGCGAUGUAUUCACACUUGUAAAAUACUCAUCUAUUUACAUUCUUGUUUUAUGCCCAAUGUCCCACCAAUCACACUCAAAUAAAUACACACGAUUUUGACCAUAACGUAACACUAGAAUGUUCUUCAACUCACCAUAGAAGUCAAUAUUCUUUAUGCGAUGCUCACGUGGAACAAUUAUACCACUAUUUUGGGUACGUAGAGUUCGUUCAUAGUCUUUUAUGUGAAACCUAACCCCAUUCACAAUACAGCCUUUAAACAUUGCAACUUGAUGAUCCAGUCCGCAUGCAAGAUCAUAUAUUUGUUUAGACACGGUUUCUACAUUAUGCCCACAUAUACGAUGUCGGAACCAGUUUUCGAAUUCGGCUUCAUGCUUACUCUGGAUUUCCACAGUUCCUUCUCCUUCGAUCUUGUCAUAGUAUUCACUACAUAAAGAAUAAUAAUUACUCUACUUUAUUAUCAAGUAGAUUAUGCAUAAGUUAAUAGAACAAUAAAUCAUACACUUACCGAAUGUAUGAAGCAAUUUCGUCACAAUUGUUAAGCACAUACCAUCGAGCCCUUGAGAGAACCAUAUACGAGGCCUCGGGAGAUCCAAACUUUUUACGAUGACUCAUACAAAAAAGAAUGGCACCACAUGAAUGAUGAGGCUACGGAUAAAAUGUUUCUUAACUUUUAAUACUCUGCAAGAGAAGAUGAGGAAAAUAAUGUCGCAGGAGCGUCCAACAAAAUCAACUGUUUAUACACAAGGGUCAAUACAUUGGGCACUGGACGACCCAUGCAUAGAGCCAUACAGGCGAGUCAAGGGCGAUGAAUACUUGGGGCGUGUAUACAGAACGGGGCUUGAGCCUACACCGAGCAGAUCUAGCAGCCGUACAUCCAGGACAUCUACAUUUGCAUCCCAAGAACCUGAACUUGUGAGUCAGGUUAAUCAAUUGCAAGCGCGCGCGAGACGCAGAUGCAAACAAGGCAUCAGGAUCAGCUGGUUUGUAUGCAAACGGAAUAUCAGAAUAUGUUGGCUCAUAAGCAAAUGGGGCACCAGAAUGGGAUGACUGAGAUGCGGAAGAUGCUCAGCUGGGCUAUUAUGGAAGUAGGUGGGAACCCCUUUGCAGCGCAAUGCAGGGAUGUGGCAAACAUUCUAGACACAGAAUCCCUAGCAGUGAGGCCCAAAUCAUCAGUCGGUAGUCACCCAGUUAAUUACUCAUGGUAGGAAGCCCGUUGACGGAGAGAACUGGGAAUUCAUAUGCGUAUAUAUUGUAUUGACUGGAAGUCUGGAACAUUGAUUGUAUUUUUGCGUGUUGAGUCACAUAGACUUUUAUCUUUUUGGUUGGUAACAUUUGGUUAAAGACACAAGGCACGUGUUGCCUGUUGUGAAUUUCAGAUUGUGUACAUUGAUA